Molecule: long non-coding RNA, 2249 nt
Filed under: Mus musculus (house mouse)
Lineage: Eukaryota; Metazoa; Chordata; Mammalia; Rodentia; Muridae
Description: long non-coding RNA chr13:63575481-63577730
Source: RNAcentral
UUUCUGGGGGGGGGUGAAAAUGAAGACCCUCACUUGUAAUGCUUCUGGAUGCUUGCUCCUUUUAGGUUUGCUUAAGGCUUAAGAACAAACACUCGAGUGUGCUUUGUAUGAUGCUGGAGGCUUCUUUGGAGCUCAAUUUCCAAAUACAGAAUGCAGCACAGGGAGUUGGAAGAGGCCUGGGCACUGAGGGACACUCCUGACCUUCCAGCAAAGCAUCUCCAUUGGGAGUGGAAGGCAAGACACAGCCACACAGAGUUUGUGGCCUUGGGGAAAAACACAAGUCCAUCAUCCCUAUAACUGAAACCUAUGUGUUCCCAUUUUAGUCUCCUACCUUAAAAUCGGGGAAAACUGUUUCCAGUGCAAAUACUUGACCAUGAGCAAGGAUAACAUAGCAAAACAGGAAGAAGCAAGCCUUUGGUGCUGGAAGAAAAAACUGGGGAAGGGGUAGAUCAACCCACAAGCAGCCCCUUCUAGAGCUACCUGCUCUGCUCUUCCCUUUGGAUUCACUUUUGGUGUUUUCUGAGACCCCAGCAAAGGGGCCUUUCUCCUCAAAUGACUACUUCAGAAUUCUAUCAUUGCUUAUGUCCUAUCCCUUCCAGAAAGCCAGCAUCAGAGCCACCCAGUCUGACAACCCAUUUGGCAUGGAAGUGUUAAUGACUGACAGCUACCAGCCAGCUCAGCUCAACUCAAAUCAGGCUUGUCUGGACUGAUAAGCAACUGGCAUGGGGGUUAAUGGCUGAUGAGCUACUAGGCUGUACAGGUCAACUUCGUUUGUUAGAACAUACCCAGAAAGAAUAACUUCCAAAGUGGAGAUCCUAGGGAGGGGCCAGAUGGAGACUGAAGGCAUCGGAGAAGAAAGACUUUUGAAGCAGGUGUCGAAACAGACCACACAGAGGCAUGAUCAAACCUCUGCCUGUCUUUCUGAAUAUUUUGGCUAAUUGAGACGUUGCUGUCCUAUACACACACAUCCACAUGUGCACAAGUGCACAUGCCCUUGUGGCCUAAGCACUUCUAUCCCUUGGUCAUCCAUGCUCUAACACCUGGAAAGCUUUCAGGUAAAUAACAUGCCCCUAAAGUGGACACUUGCCCACAUCAGGAUAGAUGCCACUCUUGCCCGGAGUUGGCAAGUGUACCAUACUGGCCACACUUUGGGUGUGGCCAUCCUUUGAUUCAUCAGACAGGUCCUCACAAGCUUUCUGGGAAGCAUUCUUGCUCUAUGCACAGAUCCCAACUUUACAGUGACUUCCCCCAACCCUCAGAGCAGCCUCUCCCCUGUGAAAAAGAUAGUCACAAGCAGCUAAGCCAAUGGGUAGAAUGAAGGCUUUGAGGACCAAAGGGGUAGAUAAGGAAUGUUCAGAGGUGAAUGUGUUUGUUACAACCCCGAGUCAGAGGAAAUGACCAACCGAAUUACCAAAAGAUGCAUUGAAAGAAUCAAGAGAAUUGUUUAAACAGCAAGAACAAAAAGAAGGAAAAUAAGAUUUCCAACAGACAAAGCAAUGGUGUGGUGUGAAUAGAAAAACCGAGACAAACAGCUUGGAAAGGAGGGGAGGAGCAGAGUAGAUCCUGGGGUGCCAUAAACCAAAGGCUCCAGGGAACCUCAGUGCUGAGGAAGAGAAAGCUGGAGAGGUGUCUGCAGUGUGCAACCAAACAACCAAACAACCCCUCCCCCCCAAAAAAAAAUCCAUGGUGAUUUCAGCAAGAAGAAGCUAGUCGGGCUGGGCAUGUGGCUUAGUAGAGUGUGGUGGGUGCUUACUUGCCUAGUGUGCUCAAAGCCUGGGUCUGAUAUACAGUACAGCAUCAACUGAGUCUAGUGACACACACUUGUAAUUCCAGGGACAGGAGGAUCAGCCGUGGUUCAGGGUCAUCCUCUAAUACAUAAAGAGUUCAAGAAAAGCCCAAGAUACAAGAGAGCCUAUCUCAGAAAGAAAAGGAAGAUCUAAGCAUGGAAUCUGGUCCUGUGUCCUCCAGUGGGUGUGUGUGUGUGUGUGUCCUUCUUCUUCUUCUUCUUCUUCUUCUUCUUUUUUUUUUUGGGGUUUUUAGACAGGGUUUCUCUGUAGCCCUGGCUGUCCUGGAACUCACUCUGUAGACCAGGCUGGCCUCGAACUCAGAAAUCCGCCUGCCUCUGCCUCCCAAGUGCUAGGAUUAAAGACAUGCACCACCACGCCCAGCCUGUGUGUGUCCUUCUUAAAAGGAUAUCAUAAGGGAUAAACUAAUGGCUUCAUCUUGACUUGACCUUUCCAAAGUCCCCA